RNAcentral lists this long non-coding RNA (1230 nucleotides) under Parus major (Great Tit). RNAcentral's name for it is "lncRNA (ENSPMJG00000000455.1)". The record is from RNAcentral. Lineage: Eukaryota; Metazoa; Chordata; Aves; Passeriformes; Paridae.
GCAAUGACUGGAGCUGUCAAUCUACAACUCAGAUGAAUUAAUUCUAUUUUAGUGGGAAAAAAUGUUCCCAAACAUUCAGGGCUAGGCUGGCAAAAUUAAGCAAAAGCAGGAGAAGUGGGGAGAGGGGAAAAUGGCCAAAAAUCCUCAUGUCUUCUUCAAUCUUCAUCUCACACCUCUAGGGAACAUCUGCAGUCCCAGCCCUGUCUGAGCCUUUUGCAGCCACCAGAACAAGCAUUUGGAUGAUGUGACAAGGCACCAGCAGGUCAGGAGCAGCAAAGCAGAUGUGUUCCUGUGCAGAUUAACUCCUGAGCAAUACUUGAGAUUUUUUUCCCCUAGAUGGGGCUGUCAAACACACUGCUCACCACACAGGAGGUAAAGAGAGAGAGCAGCCUUCUUUUCUACAGGAAGCACUUCAUGGACUGCCCUUUGUGAGCACUGUGUUAUGGUUUGUUUUGCUGUGCCAGAAGAGACAUGCAGAGUGCACGUGUGCAUGGCAUGACAACACAAGUUCACUUCCAUUUCCACUGCUGAAGAAAGAGAAGACUGACUGAAGGUGAAUCCCUGCUCUGAUUGUUCUUGUUGUUCAUGGCUCAGAUGGAAAAGCAAUCAGACAAGGUCAUUUGAGACACUGUCAUUGGAAAAUGGGUUUGUAGAGGCAGUAACAGCUGUCUGUCUCCUAAGGAAACCACAGCCACUGCUGAAAGGAUAAAGCCCAUCUUCCCCCCAUAUCCUUCCAUCCUGCAUCCACAGCUCCAUGGCAGCCAAACCUCUGCUCUGUACAGGGCUAUCAGACCAGACUCAGAGUGCUCUGCAUGCAGUCAAGUGACAGAGAUAAGGCCAAUGAUUCUGGAGCAGAUGUCUUCUGGCUCUCUGGCUCCCAUCCUUGUUUGUUUGUUGCCAUGACCCAUAAUUUAUUUCCACUCCACUAAAUGACUGGCCAGGUGCCUCAUGACAUUAAACCCCAAGGAGGAACAUGGUGUUUUCUUCCAGUGAAGAAACCUGAACUUCUGUGUUCCCUCCCUGACCCAUUACCAGAUACAGCAGUCAAGGCAAGAAAAACAGGAGCAAAAACCAAAGCAGACAACAACCUUAUGUUUCUGCUGUAGACUGAUCACUUUCUGUGCAAGUAAAUCAUGAUUUGUAUUUUUUUUAAAAAAAGAAAAGCUUCCAUUUAACAUCCAGUACAAGAUUCAUGAACAACAAUUAAACCCUAAAAGUGAUUACUUCCUG